Molecule: ribosomal RNA, 267 nt
Filed under: uncultured archaeon
Lineage: Archaea
Description: partial 16S ribosomal RNA
Rfam family: Archaeal small subunit ribosomal RNA
Source: RNAcentral
ACACGACUACAUUAGAUACCCCGGUAGUCCCAAGCCCUAAACGAUGCGCGUUAGGUGUAUCGGUGACCACGAGUCCACCGAGGUGCCGAAGGGAAACCGUGAAACGUGCCGCCUAGGGAAGUACGGUCGCAAGGCUGAAACUUAAAGGAAUUGGCGGGGAGCACCACAACGGGUGGAGCCUGCGGUUUAAUUGGACUCAACGCCGGGAAGCUCACCGGAUAAGACAGCGGAAUGAUUGCCGGGCUGAAGACCCUGCAUGACCAGCUG